This 253-nucleotide ribosomal RNA is filed under the name uncultured bacterium. RNAcentral describes it as "partial 16S ribosomal RNA". It matches the Rfam family "Bacterial small subunit ribosomal RNA", at positions 524 to 776 of the family's 1533-position model. The record is from RNAcentral.
UACGGGGGGGGCAAGCGUUGUUCGGAAUUACUGGGCGUAAAGGGCGCGUAGGCGGCCUUCUAAGUCGAACGUGAAAUCCCCGGGCUCAACCCGGGAACUGCGUCCGAUACUGGAGGGCUUGAAUCCGGGAGAGGGAUGCGGAAUUCCAGGUGUAGCGGUGAAAUGCGUAGAUAUCUGGAGGAACACCGGUGGCGAAGGCGGGUCUCUGGGCCGGAACUGACGCUAAGGAGCGAAAGCGUGGGGAGCGAACAGG